This 468-nucleotide ribosomal RNA is filed under the name uncultured bacterium. Its description in RNAcentral is "partial 16S ribosomal RNA". It matches the Rfam family "Bacterial small subunit ribosomal RNA", at positions 28 to 507 of the family's 1533-position model. The record is from RNAcentral.
GAUGAACGCUGGCGGUGUGCCUAACACAUGCAAGUCGAACGGCAACACCCUGCUUUCUUGCGCUUCCCGAUUGCCAAUCGCGUAAGUAUCACGUGUACAUCCUGCUCUUCUCUUUCGUAUAGCGUCAGGAAACUGGACUUACUCUCAUACCGCAUCCCCCCUUCCAUUGAGGGCGUGGGAUCUUCUCGGCGGUUGCGGUUGGAUUCGCGGCUUACCAGCUUGCUGGUGGGGUAGUGGCUUACCCAGGCUUUGGCGGGUAGCCGGCUUGAGAGGGUGGCCGGCCACAUUGGGACUGAGAUACGGCCCAGACUCCUACGGGAGGCAGCAGUGGGAAAUAUUGCACAAUGGGCGGAAGCCUGAUGCAGAAACGCCGCGUGCGGGAUGACGGCCUUCGGGUUGUAAACCGCUUUCGCCUGUGACGAAGCGUGAGUGACGGUAAUGGGUAAAGAAGCACCGGCUAACUACGUG